CAGCCGCCGCGGUAAUACGUAGGUGGCAAGCGUUGUCCGGAAUUAUUGGGCGUAAAGGGCUCGCAGGCGGUUUCUUAAGUCUGAUGUGAAAGCCCCCGGCUCAACCGGGGAGGGUCAUUGGAAACUGGGAAACUUGAGUGCAGAAGAGGAGAGUGGAAUUCCACGUGUAGCGGUGAAAUGCGUAGAGAUGUGGAGGAACACCAGUGGCGAAGGCGACUCUCUGGUCUGUAACUGACGCUGAGGAGCGAAAGCGUGGGGAGCGAACAGGAUUAGAUACCCCAGUAGUCCCUGUCUCUUAUAU
Molecule: ribosomal RNA, 301 nt
Filed under: uncultured bacterium
Lineage: Bacteria
Description: partial 16S ribosomal RNA
Rfam family: Bacterial small subunit ribosomal RNA
Source: RNAcentral